ACAAGAAACAGGAGGGAAGAAUUCAUUUCAAUACAGCAAUAGAAAACGUGAAGCUCUGUUUCCUCACUGCGUCCUCGUUGUCUUUGGGUCUCCCAUGUGUGAAUCAUAGCUUCGUUUCCUUCCUCACUACGUCAUCUCCGUGUGUGAAUCAUAGGGUACCAAUUUGGCUAGUUUUACGCACCUUUUUUUUUUUUUUUUUGGUGGUCCAUCUCUAUUCGACCAAUUUGACGGAGAAAAAGGUAGAUCUUGUCAUGAGCAUGAAGAAAUGGUAGAUCGAUCUUGUCAUUUUUGUAGCUUCAUGUUGUCUCCGUGGCUAGCUUCAGAUACAAUUUGGGUUGGAUGGAUCACAACCAGUGCAAUUUGACUUGGAUGGAUCACGACCGGCAGGAAAAUGAAGUGGUUUAUGUAUUGAAUGUAAUUCAUGGACACAUGACAAUGCACCAUUUUUGUGUAUUGGAACUGUGUAAUGUGUAUUGGAACCAAUGGCUAUAUUAUAUUGGAUAAUUAUUUGUAUUUUUGGAUUGAUAGCUUUUUAUUUGUAGUUAUUUUUGGAUGGUAUGAGACUUUUUAUAUGU
Long non-coding RNA from Juglans microcarpa x Juglans regia, 575 nucleotides. RefSeq lists it as uncharacterized. The transcript is spliced from 2 exons. The record is from RefSeq and is a predicted model, not a curated record. NCBI's taxonomy places the organism in Eukaryota, Viridiplantae, Streptophyta, Magnoliopsida, Fagales, Juglandaceae.